UUGCCUAUUCCUUGAACUUUUUCAUGUUUUAGUUGCAGCUUAUUGGUGCAUUAUUGGCUGUAGGUUGGAGCUGGGACUAUGAAUCCUCUGACAUUUCUAAGAAGAGAAGAAG
Molecule: non-coding RNA, 112 nt
Organism: Coffea arabica (coffee)
Lineage: Eukaryota; Viridiplantae; Streptophyta; Magnoliopsida; Gentianales; Rubiaceae
Source: RefSeq, a predicted model, not a curated record